AGUAAUGCUUGGGAAUCUAGCUUAUGGAGGGGGAUAACUACGGGAGACUGUAGCUAAUACCGCGUAGUAUCGGAAGAUGAAAGUGUGGGACCUUCGGGCCACAUGCCAUAGGAUGAGCCCAAGUGGGAUUAGGUAGUUGGUGAGGUAAAGGCUCACCAAGCCGACGAUCUCUAGCUGGUCUGAGAGGAUGACCAGCCACACUGGGACUGAGACACGGCCCAG
This 222-nucleotide ribosomal RNA is filed under the name uncultured bacterium. RNAcentral describes it as "partial 16S ribosomal RNA". It matches the Rfam family "Bacterial small subunit ribosomal RNA", at positions 109 to 334 of the family's 1533-position model. The record is from RNAcentral.